AUGGCGGAAGCGAACUCGUACGAGGAGCAGCGCCGGCGGCAGAUGGAGGAGAACCGCCGGAAGCUCGACGAGCUGCGCCUGCACCACCUCUCCGCCGCCGUCCGCGAGGCCGCCGCCAGGCCCAACCCCAACCCCAACCCCAAGCCCAAGCCGAAGCGGAAGGCCCCGGAGCCCGGCGAUCUCCGGCGGUCCGGCCGCGUCGCCGGCCUCCCGGAGCAGCCCGACUACCUCGAGGGCGCGCAGCACCGCGACGAGCAGGGGGUGUACGCCGCAUACGACGCCCGUAUUUGGAAAGGACCGACCGACGAGGAGAGGGCCGCCGCCGUCGCCAGGGCCGAGGAGCUCCGGCGCCGGAUCCACCGCAUUCGCCGGCCCGCCUUCGUCAAGACCUUGACCCACGUCUGCGCCAGCAGGGCAAAACUGAUGAUGAUCCCGAAGCACUUCAUCGAGCACCUCCCGGCGCACGAUGAGGCGGUCGUCUUGGUGGAUGAGGCGGGUGUCGAGUUCCACAUGCUGUGCAAUGCCAGCAAACAGGGCAUCUGCUACCUCAGCAAGGGGUGGAGAGAGUUUGCCGUCCACCAUGACCUUGAAAACGGCGAUUGCUUGGUUUUCCAGCUGAUAGAAAGCGCAAAGUUCAAGGUCUACAUUUUCAGAGCAAACCCAGACUAUGAAAGCAAUGAAACUUCCGAUGACUCUGAGGAUGAACAGUAA
RNAcentral lists this ribosomal RNA (711 nucleotides) under Triticum aestivum (bread wheat). RNAcentral describes it as "partial small subunit ribosomal RNA". The record is from RNAcentral. Lineage: Eukaryota; Viridiplantae; Streptophyta; Magnoliopsida; Poales; Poaceae.